ACGCGUCCCGCAGCGUUUUGGGACUCAAACGCCCCGCAAUCUGGGACUCGCGAUCUGGAUCGCAAUACCCAGGUGAAGGUGAUGAAUCUGGUAACUAUGGUUGCCACCCCAAUCACAAGGCAUAUAUUGUAUUAACAUGCUCAUCAGUACAUUUUUAUAAGUGUUGAAGCCAAAGUAAGAUUUUGUACAUCAUUUUCGUUUAUUUGGUUGGAAACUUGGAAUAGGGUCAAACCCAAUGGAAACUUGAUCCUCUCACAAUUUCAGUAGGACUUAAACAGUGUCCAAGACUUAGAGUGAACCUCCUAUUUUAAUUUUGUAGUGCAAUUGCACUUCAGAAUGAUAAUUUGGUCAUUCUUUAUCAUCAGUUGUAAAAUCAAUUUAUCAUGGAUUGCAUUUUUCAUAAUUUUUGAAGUUCGGUGGUAUAUGCAUGUCCUUUAGCAUGUACGUUUGUUGGAAUGUCUCAGUAUCUCAUCAUUUUAGCUGCUUCUGAUAUGGUGGAGUUCCAUUUUGCUUUUGUUCAAAAGAGGAGAAAAAAGUUCAGUUUUGAUGGCAUUAUACACUUUGCUCUUAGAACUUAUAGCUGCCAUGAUUCAUUUUGGAUCAUGUUGAUAUCUUGGAGAAGGCUGGAAUUUGAUUUAGAUGGGAAAAGAAAAAUAGUGAAUAAAGUCAAACUCUUUUGCCUCUUGGUGAUCAACUUCUUAAAGUUUGUAUGUUAGGAUCAAAUAGUAAGAUUAUUUCUUGCAUUUCUUGAGAACUAUCCUAGGAGAAUAAUGUAUUUGUUUUUUCAAACUUAGAGCAUUUAUGUUGAUAUUGUUGUAUUUCUACCAUUUGUACUCUUUUCGAGUUGCAUUUUCCAUUGAUAAUUGAUGUUGUUCUCCUUUUCGACAGGUUAUGGAUGUCGAGUUCAAGGAUUUGCAAAAGAGAAGAGCAUCAAGGGGGUUAGAUGACCAUUGCUCUGAUGCUUAAGUCAGUUAUGAGAACUGGAUUGUAGAAUAGAUAGGCAAAAACUGAGUAGUGUGCAUACCUGAUAGCCCUUAUAUAGGCCUUUGAUGUGAAUUCUUAUUAAGAUUAGGAGUCUGUG
Molecule: unclassified non-coding RNA, 1081 nt
Filed under: Hevea brasiliensis (rubber tree)
Lineage: Eukaryota; Viridiplantae; Streptophyta; Magnoliopsida; Malpighiales; Euphorbiaceae
Source: RNAcentral